Molecule: ribosomal RNA, 253 nt
Filed under: uncultured bacterium
Lineage: Bacteria
Description: partial 16S ribosomal RNA
Rfam family: Bacterial small subunit ribosomal RNA
Source: RNAcentral
UACGUAGGGGGCCAGCGUUGCUCGGAAUUACUGGGCGUAAAGGGUUCGUAGGUGGUGCGGCAAGUUGGGAGUGAAAUCUCUGGGCUUAACUCAGAGGCUGCUUUCAAAACUGCCGUGCUCGAGUGCGAGAGAGGCCAGUGGAAUUGCAGGUGUAGCGGUGAAAUGCGUAGAUAUCUGGAGGAACACCGGUGGCGAAGGCGGCAUCCUGGACCGGUAUUGACGCUGAGGCGCGAAAGCCAGGGGAGCAAACGGG